RNAcentral lists this long non-coding RNA (474 nucleotides) under Meleagris gallopavo (turkey). Its description in RNAcentral is "lncRNA (ENSMGAG00000019063.1)". Lineage: Eukaryota; Metazoa; Chordata; Aves; Galliformes; Phasianidae. The record is from RNAcentral.
UAAUUCUUAUAUUAAAGAGUAGUCAUUGGGCACAGAAAUUCUCCUUCAGAAUGAAAAUAGACGACUGCAGGGUGGGCAGCUUUUGGAAGGGAAUGGAGUUGAUUAAGUAUUCAAAAUAAAUGGCAUAUGUACUGUGACUAAGCGUGAACAACAUUAGAAGCAGCUUGGUAUUCAGUAGAUUAUACUGUGCUUGCUAAGGAGGCAGUGUAAUUUGCAGCGUUACAUUCUUUGAAGAUUGAAAUGCUGAGUUGGAUGUCAACAAACAGUGGGUGCAGGUCAAAAUACUUGGAGAUUUCAAAACGGAAUCACUUGGAUGAUACUUGUAUUGUACACACGUGCAUAUAGUAUGUCAGAAUGUGAGUAUCACAGGCUAGUUCAGUAAUACUGUAGUUGUUUCUAAGCUUCUGUAAAAAAUUGAAAUCCUAAUUUCCAGUCAAUUGUAAAACAUUUCCACAGUUACCCUAUAUGCCGUGU